This 253-nucleotide ribosomal RNA is filed under the name uncultured bacterium. RNAcentral's name for it is "partial 16S ribosomal RNA". It matches the Rfam family "Bacterial small subunit ribosomal RNA", at positions 524 to 776 of the family's 1533-position model. The record is from RNAcentral.
UACGUAGGGUGCGAGCGUUAAUCGGAAUUACUGGGCGUAAAGCGUGCGCAGGCGGUGCACCAAGCUCGAUGUGAAAGCCCCGGGCUUAACCUGGGAAUUGCAUCGAGGACUGGUGUGCUCGAGUGCGGCAGAGGGGGGUGGAAUUCCACGUGUAGCAGUGAAAUGCGUAGAGAUGUGGAGGAACACCGAUGGCAAAGGCAGCCCCCUGGGCCGACACUGACGCUCAUGCACGAAAGCGUGGGGAGCAAACAGG